This 111-nucleotide ribosomal RNA is filed under the name Neogale vison (American mink). Lineage: Eukaryota; Metazoa; Chordata; Mammalia; Carnivora; Mustelidae. The record is from RNAcentral.
GUCUAUGGCCAUACCACCCUGAACGCGCCUGAUCUCGUCUGAUCUCGGAAGCUAAGCAGGGUCGGGCCUGGUUAGUACUUGGAUGGGAGGAAUACGAUGCAGCCAUCAAAA